AUUGAACGCUGGCGGCAGGCCUAACACAUGCCAGUCGAGCGGAUGAAGGGAGCUUGCUCCUGGAUUCAGCGGCGGACGGGUGAGUAAUGCCUAGGAAUCUGCCUGGUAGUGGGGGAUAACGUCCGGAAACGGGCGCUAAUACCGCAUACGUCCUGAGGGAGAAAGUGGGGGAUCUUCGGACCUCACGCUAUCAGAUGAGCCUAGGUCGGAUUAGCUAGUUGGUGGGGUAAAGGCCUACCAAGGCGACGAUCCGUAACUGGUCUGAGAGGAUGAUCAGUCACACUCUGACUCAGAGACGCGGCAGAGACCUACGGGAGGCACCAGAGUGGAGAAUUUGACAAUGGGGGCAAGCCUGAUACAGCCCUGCGGCGCGUGUGAAGAAGGUCUUCGGAUUGUAAAGCACUUUAAGUUGGGAGGAAGGGCAGUAAGUUAAUACCUUGCUGUUUUGACGUUACCAACAGAAUAAGCACCGGCUAACUUCGUG
Molecule: ribosomal RNA, 484 nt
Filed under: uncultured bacterium
Lineage: Bacteria
Description: partial 16S ribosomal RNA
Rfam family: Bacterial small subunit ribosomal RNA
Source: RNAcentral